This 91-nucleotide non-coding RNA is filed under the name Neisseria dentiae. Its description in RNAcentral is "Neisseria metabolic switch regulator b (RcoF1/NgncR163)". It matches the Rfam family "Neisseria metabolic switch regulator b (RcoF1/NgncR163)". Rfam says of the family: Sibling sRNA described and independently named in three publications. NgncR163 is N. gonorrhoeae while the others are N. meningitidis RNAs. Lineage: Bacteria; Pseudomonadati; Pseudomonadota; Betaproteobacteria; Neisseriales; Neisseriaceae. The record is from Rfam by way of RNAcentral.
CCGUUGACUGAUUUCAGUAGUCAGUUGAUAGUUUCUCCUCUAUUUCUCCUUUGUAGACUUGGCACACAUUCUUGCGAAUGUGUGCAUUUUU